AUGAAUGCUGGCGGCGUGCCUAACACCUGCAAGUCGAGCGGCAGCGAGUUUUACACUGAAUUCUGGAAGCUUCUGAGUAGUACAGAAGAUUUAUUCAAGAGUUUUGUGUAAAAUGUCGGCGAGCGGCGGACGGCUGAGUAACGCGUAGGAAUUUGCCCCAAAGUGAGGAAUAACUGCCCGAAAGGGUAGCUAAUGCCGCAUAUGGUCUUCGGAUUAAAGCCUUCGGGCGCUUUGGGAGAAGCCUGCGUUGGAUUAGGUAGUUGGUAGGGUAAUGGCCUACCAAGCCGACGAUCCAUAGCUGGUCUGAGAGGAUGAUCAGCCAGACUGGAACUGAGACACGGUCCAGACUCCUACGGGAAGCAGCAGUGAGGAAUCUUCCACAAUGGGUGAAAGCCUGAUGGAGCAACGCCGCGUGAAGGAUGAAGGCCUUCGGGUUGUAAACUUCUUUUAUGAGUGAAGAAUAUGACGGUAACUCAUGAAUAAGCACCGGCUAACUACGUG
This 501-nucleotide ribosomal RNA is filed under the name uncultured bacterium. Its description in RNAcentral is "partial 16S ribosomal RNA". It matches the Rfam family "Bacterial small subunit ribosomal RNA", at positions 29 to 507 of the family's 1533-position model. The record is from RNAcentral.